Molecule: transfer RNA, 82 nt
Filed under: Candidatus Puniceispirillum sp. TMED52
Lineage: Bacteria; Pseudomonadati; Pseudomonadota; Alphaproteobacteria; Puniceispirillales (SeqCode); Puniceispirillaceae (SeqCode)
Description: tRNA-Leu
Rfam family: tRNA
About the family: Transfer RNA (tRNA) molecules are approximately 80 nucleotides in length. Their secondary structure includes four short double-helical elements and three loops (D, anti-codon, and T loops). Further hydrogen bonds mediate the characteristic L-shaped molecular structure. tRNAs have two regions of fundamental functional importance: the anti-codon, which is responsible for specific mRNA codon recognition, and the 3' end, to which the tRNAs corresponding amino acid is attached (by aminoacyl-tRNA synthetases). tRNAs cope with the degeneracy of the genetic code in two manners: having more than one tRNA (with a specific anti-codon) for a particular amino acid; and 'wobble' base-pairing, i.e. permitting non-standard base-pairing at the 3rd anti-codon position.
Source: RNAcentral
GCACGAAUGUCCGAGUGGUCUAAGGAGCCAGACUUAAGACCUGGUAGCGUGAGCUGCGUGGGUUCGAACCCCACUUCGUGCA